UACGUAGGGUGCGAGCGUUGUCCGGAAUUAUUGGGCGUAAAGAGCUCGUAGGCGGCCUGUCGCGUCGUCCGUGAAAACCCACGGCUCAACUGUGGGCUUGCGGUCGAUACGGGCAGGCUGGAGUUCGGUAGGGGAGACUGGAAUUCCUGGUGUAGCGGUGAAAUGCGCAGAUAUCAGGAGGAACACCGGUGGCGAAGGCGGGUCUCUGGGCCGAUACUGACGCUGAGGAGCGAAAGCGUGGGGAGCGAACAGG
RNAcentral lists this ribosomal RNA (253 nucleotides) under uncultured bacterium. Its description in RNAcentral is "partial 16S ribosomal RNA". It matches the Rfam family "Bacterial small subunit ribosomal RNA", at positions 524 to 776 of the family's 1533-position model. The record is from RNAcentral.